Molecule: ribosomal RNA, 432 nt
Filed under: uncultured bacterium
Lineage: Bacteria
Description: bacterial SSU rRNA
Rfam family: Bacterial small subunit ribosomal RNA
Source: RNAcentral
UGAGGAAUAUUGGUCAAUGGGCGAGAGCCUGAACCAGCCAAGUCGCGUGAGGGAAGACGGUCCUAUGGAUUGUAAACCUCUUUUGCCGGGGAGCAAAGAGCGGCACGUGUGCCGCGCCGAGAGUACCCGGAGAAAAAGCAUCGGCUAACUCCGUGCCAGCAGCCGCGGUAAUACGGAGGAUGCGAGCGUUAUCCGGAUUUAUUGGGUUUAAAGGGUGCGCAGGCGGCGCGUUAAGUCAGCGGUAAAAUUUCGGGGCUUAACCCGACGAGCCGUUGAAACUGGCGUGCUAGAGUGGGCGAGAAGUAUGCGGAAUGCGUGGUGUAGCGGUGAAAUGCAUAGAUAUCACGCAGAACUCCGAUUGCGAAGGCAGCAUACCGGCGCCCAACUGACGCUCAUGCACGAAAGCGUGGGUAUCGAACAGGAUUAGAUACC